Molecule: non-coding RNA, 114 nt
Filed under: Chromera velia
Lineage: Eukaryota; Chromeraceae
Source: RNAcentral
AAAAAGAGAGACGAAGAAAGAAAAAAAAAAAAGAAAAAUCGGACAAAAGAAACAACGAAAGAAAGGGGGGGGGGACCAAAUCAUUGUGCUACUUGUUUCGCUUAUUUUGUCUCU